Molecule: long non-coding RNA, 806 nt
Organism: Acyrthosiphon pisum (pea aphid)
Lineage: Eukaryota; Metazoa; Arthropoda; Insecta; Hemiptera; Aphididae
Exons: 3
Source: RefSeq, a predicted model, not a curated record
UACAGCAGAGCAACACCCACUUGCCCACCUUUUUUUUUUUAAUUCGAUAUUAAUUUUAUUGUUCAACACAUAAUGUUUAUUAUGUGUUUAUUUAUUAGUUCUUUAAGUCACCCAAAGACCUAUUCUGAAACAUGUACCUAGUUAGCUGUUACCUAUUAAUUGUAACACGACUCGGGCUUUUGUGAUUUUUGAAACUUUUAUUUAUUCACAUUAAAAUGAACUUAACAAACUAAUUUAUAACUUCUAAUGCAAUAAUGGUAUUAGUUUUAAACACUAGUAAAAAUAGUGAGAUAGAUGUUGUUCACAACAGUUGUGAAAUUACUUGAAGAAUAUUAGGUAGAAAACUAUAGAAGUACCAUAAUGAAGAUCAAUUAGAAGGAAUUUGUGAUCAAAUCGGCCAAAAUGAAUAUACUAAAGAAGGGACUUCUUGAGAAAAUAUACACUAAAAAUGUUAAGACAGCCAAAAUCAAAUCUGUUGUGUUCUACAAAAAUUAAGAACAAGCACAAUUUUGAAUUUUCUAAUAAAGGCCAGCCAAAGAGAAAGAAGGUUUUCAAGAUAAGUUGAUGAAAUUGACACAAGAAAUAGCUUCACUGAGCAGGAGACAAUAACUUUCAAAGGGAAGAAUCAGAAGCUAAAAGAGAAAUAGGUAUGAGGCCUGAAAUUAAAUACAGAAAAGGAAUAUUAUCAGAAUUAUUAAUAAAGAAAUCUUUUUUAAGACCAGAUUUAAAAACGUGUUUCAGAAAUAGAACUACUUACAUUGUAAAAUGUAAAAUAAAUUUAUAUAAAUGCAGUGUUUUAGUGUGGA